This 1286-nucleotide long non-coding RNA is filed under the name Sorghum bicolor (sorghum). RNAcentral describes it as "long non-coding RNA (SBIC_LNC008270)". The record is from RNAcentral. Lineage: Eukaryota; Viridiplantae; Streptophyta; Magnoliopsida; Poales; Poaceae.
AGAAUCAAAGUUAGGGUUUCAAUUCUUCAUCCAAGUAGAGAGGAUCCCUCUAGUUCUUCUAGUUCUACCUCUAGUUCGUCUAGAUCUAGUUCUAGUUCAUCUAGUUCUAGUUCUAGUUCUAGUUCCUCUAGUUCUAGUUCUAGUUAGUUCUAGUUGUAAUAUAGAAAAUAGGGAGAGAGAAGAGGAGAGCGGAGGAGGAGCCGGAUCUGUCGGAUCUUCCUCAACAUUGUACUUUUGCAGCAACUGGUUCGUUCUUCAUUGUUCUCCAGGUUCUUCAAUUCAUAAUCCUGAGUUCUUUAAUUACUUUUAUUUACAUUCAAGUUAUUUAUUGGAUUCCUGCUUGCAUCAAGUGCCUGGCCCCGUUCGGCCUCCGCUUCCUUCCCGUGGCUUCUGGAGUAUUCUAGAUGUAAGAUAAUUGCGCGGCAUGUUGAUAUCUCUAUGUAAUCCCGACGUAUGGGCCUUUCUUCCGUAUUCCCUGAUAACCCCCCUGCAGAAAUAGACAAACACCAAAACUCAUGGAAUUCUGUCAGAUAAAACCCUAAGUCUAGAUGUUGAUUUCAUUUGGACCCUUUUCUUUGUUUAUUUGAUAAUUAAAUUUGAUACUUAAGGAUCGUCAACAGUCUCCUAAUUGGGAAGGUCCUUAUCGGAUAAAUUGGUCUGCUCCUGGCAAUGCUUAUAUUUUAUAAACUCUCGAGGGAGUUGAUUUUUCUAGAGCAUUAAAUGGAAAAUAUCUAAAGAAGUAUUACCCGAGCAUCUAGAUCGAUGCAUAAAAGUUCAAAUGCCGAUAACACUCCUAUCGGGUGGAUGAAAUGUAUCUAAGAUCAUGUAUGUUGUUUUAAAGUGUCGAUAGCAGUCCUAUCGGCUAGACCAGAAUGGUAAAAGUUUCUAAGGGCAGGGGUUGCCGAUGAAUAGUUCAUAGGUUCAGCAAACCUUGGAUAGUGGAUAUGGCGCGCAGUCGAAUUCGGUUGGCCUCUUCUAUCUCCCGGAUAUCCUGAUCGGCAGAACCCUCUACUAGUUUCAACUUCUUUUUCAUCUACAGUGCCUUAUGAGCCUGGAUGUUUCGUUCUUGCUGAAGAGUCUUGAGCAUCUCAGGUAGCUGGCUUUCUUCUUGCUGAGCUUGGGUCAGAGCCUCUUCUACUUAUUUGAGCUCAGCUAGCAGAGCUUCCCAUCUUGUCCAUAGAUCAGAAAUCUUUUGUUUCAGUGUAUCCCCUGAGGACUGCUGAAUGCCGAUGCUCUUAUGUUUCUCAUCGGCAAGGCGCUUUACUUGCAUUACUUCCUCUUUGAGU